Molecule: ribosomal RNA, 995 nt
Filed under: uncultured bacterium
Lineage: Bacteria
Description: bacterial SSU rRNA
Rfam family: Bacterial small subunit ribosomal RNA
Source: RNAcentral
UGGGGAAUAUUGGGCAAUGGGCGCAAGCCUGACCCAGCAACGCCGCGUGAAGGAAGAAGGCUUUCGGGUUGUAAACUUCUUUUAUUAGGGACGAUAAUGACGGUACCUAUUGAAUAAGCUCCGGCUAACUACGUGCCAGCAGCCGCGGUAAAACGUAGGGUGCAAGCGUUGUCCGGAAUUACUGGGUGUAAAGGGAGCGCAGGCGGGAAGACAAGUUGGAAGUGAAAACCAUGGGCUCAACCCAUGAAUUGCUUUCAAAACUGUUUUUCUUGAGUAGUGCAGAGGUAGAUGGAAUUCCCGGUGUAGCGGUGGAAUGCGUAGAUAUCGGGAGGAACACCAGUGGCGAAGGCGGUCUACUGGGCACCAACUGACGCUGAGGCUCGAAAGCAUGGGUAGCAAACAGGAUUAGAUACCCUGGUAGUCCACACCGUAAACGAUGAUUACUAGGUGUUGGAGGAUUGACCCCUUCAGUGCCGCAGUUAACACAAUAAGUAAUCCACCUGGGGAGUACGACCGCAAGGUUGAAACUCAAAGGAAUUGACGGGGGCCCGCACAAGCAGUGGAGUAUGUGGUUUAAUUCGACGCAACGCGAAGAACCUUACCAAGUCUUGACAUCCCUUGACGAACAUAGAAAUAUGUUUUCUCUUCGGAGCAAGGAGACAGGUGGUGCAUGGUUGUCGUCAGCUCGUGUCGUGAGAUGUUGGGUUAAGUCCCGCAACGAGCGCAACCCUUAUGGUCAGUUACUACGCAAGAGGACUCUGGCCAGACUGCCGUUGACAAAACGGAGGAAGGUGGGGAUGACGUCAAAUCAUCAUGCCCUUUAUGACUUGGGCUACACACGUACUACAAUGGCGUUAAACAAAGAGAAGCAAGACCGCGAGGUGGAGCAAAACUCAGAAACAACGUCCCAGUUCGGACUGCAGGCUGCAACUCGCCUGCACGAAGUCGGAAUUGCUAGUAAUCGUGGAUCAGCAUGCCACGGUGAAUACGUUCCC